This 85-nucleotide transfer RNA is filed under the name Triticum aestivum (bread wheat). RNAcentral's name for it is "tRNA tRNA-Tyr". It matches the Rfam family "tRNA". From Rfam's summary of the family: Transfer RNA (tRNA) molecules are approximately 80 nucleotides in length. The record is from Rfam by way of RNAcentral. Lineage: Eukaryota; Viridiplantae; Streptophyta; Magnoliopsida; Poales; Poaceae. RNAcentral also lists the same sequence under 1 other name.
CCGACCUUAGCUCAGUUGGUAGAGCGGAGGACUGUAGUGUUGCAGAAGAAUCCUUAGGUCGCUGGUUCGAAUCCGGCAGGUCGGA